GACACGUCAGAGAAGAAGAAUGCAUUGCCUUAAAUAUCCAAAUGUGUCUCCUCUUUACUGUGUCGCAGUUUCGUAAAUUCACCAAGACGUCGCCGUGGACUUAUUGAGUCUGUUGAGCUGAUUGGAGAGCUAGCUUCCGCAGCUAGGGGGUCCAUGACCAUGACUUCUGUUUCGUUUGAUCAGUCGCAUUAUAGACACCGUUUGGAAACAAUUAAGGUCUCGGUGCCUCUCCAGGUUGUCAGAGGACACGUCAGGACUUAAUGCUUUCCAAUCUUCUCCCCAACACACACUGUCGCCUCUCAUUUACGGAGCCGCUGACAAGGAUGGCCGCCGUCUCCACGCCUUCAUGCCGCCCACUCCUCCCUGCCUCUGCUGUGCUCACAAGUCAUUAGUCCACCUUCGCUCUACCACCUGAGCCAUUAGCCGGACUCCUCACGUCACCCCAGGCAAGUGAUCGAGUGAAGACCUUCGACCUGACUGGUGUAUGUGGGUGUGGUACAUUGGUAUGUGCCCCUGACCGUGCUAAUAUGUAUGUACAUUGGUAUGUGCCCCAGACCGUGCUAAUAUGUAUGUGCAUUGGUAUGUGCCCCAGACCAUGCUAAUAUGUAUGUACAUUGGUAUGUGCCCCAGACCGUGCUAAUAUGUAUGUGCAUUGGUAUGUGCCCCAGACCGUGCUAAAGAUGCUCGUACACAAAGUAACCAUUCACCUUCAAAUCACGAUUCUUAUCCAACCCGAUUCUAAGAAAAUGUUUUUAUAUAAGUAGUAACUCAAAUAUAAUGUUGAAACAACAUGCUUUUUGACGACGUUUAAUCAAUGUUGGGUUCUAAUGUUGAUUUCACAUUGAAUUUUGGUCAUUUUCCAACCAAUCUAUAACAACACAAAUACAACGUUGAAACAACAUACUUUUUGACAACGUUUAAUCAAUGUUGGGUUCUGACGUUGAUUUGACCAUUGGAAUUUGGUCAUUUUUCCAACCAUUAUUCUACAACACAAAUACAGCGUUGAAAUAACAUGCUUUCUGACAAUGUUGAUUUGACCAUUGAAUUUUGGUCAUUCCCCAACCAAUAUUCUACAACACAAAUACAACAUUGAAGCAGCAUGCUUUUUGAUGACUAUUAAUCAACGUUGGGUUCUGACGUUGAUUUGACCGUUGAAAUUUGUUUUUAUCCCAACCAAUAUUCUACAACACAAAUACAACGUUGAAACAACAUGCUUUUUGAAGACAUUAAUUUAAUGUUGUUUUUUUUUUAUGUUGAUUUGACCAUUGAA
Long non-coding RNA from Nerophis lumbriciformis (worm pipefish), 1270 nucleotides. RefSeq lists it as uncharacterized. Lineage: Eukaryota; Metazoa; Chordata; Actinopteri; Syngnathiformes; Syngnathidae. The record is from RefSeq and is a predicted model, not a curated record.